Molecule: transfer RNA, 71 nt
Filed under: Lepomis microlophus
Lineage: Eukaryota; Metazoa; Chordata; Actinopteri; Centrarchiformes; Centrarchidae
Also listed under: 1 other name
Description: tRNA-Trp
Rfam family: tRNA
About the family: Transfer RNA (tRNA) molecules are approximately 80 nucleotides in length.
Source: RNAcentral
AGAGACUUAGGAUAGUAAGAGACCAAGGGCCUUCAAAGCCCUAAGCGGGGGUGAAAAUCCCCCAGUCCCUG